UACGGGGGGGGCAAGCGUUGUUCGGAAUUACUGGGCGUAAAGGGCUCGUAGGUGGCCAACUAAGUCAGACGUGAAAUCCCUCAGCUUAACUGGGGAACUGCGUCUGAUACUGGAUGGCUAGAGUGUGGGAGAGGGAUGCGGAAUUCCAGGUGUAGCGGUGAAAUGCGUAGAUAUCUGGAGGAACACCGGUGGCGAAGGCGGCAUCCUGGACCACGACUGACGCUGAGUGAGCGAAAGCCAGGGGAGCAAACGGG
RNAcentral lists this ribosomal RNA (254 nucleotides) under uncultured bacterium. Its description in RNAcentral is "partial 16S ribosomal RNA". It matches the Rfam family "Bacterial small subunit ribosomal RNA", at positions 524 to 776 of the family's 1533-position model. The record is from RNAcentral.